RNAcentral lists this ribosomal RNA (508 nucleotides) under uncultured bacterium. Its description in RNAcentral is "partial 16S ribosomal RNA". It matches the Rfam family "Bacterial small subunit ribosomal RNA", at positions 28 to 507 of the family's 1533-position model. The record is from RNAcentral.
GACGAACGCUGGCGGCGUGCCUAAUACAUGCAAGUCGAACGCUUCUUUCCUCCCGAGUGCUUGCACUCAAUUGGAAAGAGGAGUGGCGGACGGGUGAGUAACACGUGGGUAACCUACCCAUCAGAGGAGGAUAACACUUGGAAACAGGUGCUAAUACCGCAUAACAGUUUAUGCCGCAUGGCAUAAGAGUGAAAGGCGCUUUCGGGUGUCGCUGAUGGAUGGGCCCGCGGUGCAUUAGCUAGUUGGUGAGGUAACGGCUCACCAAGGCCACGAUGCAUAGCCGACCUGAGAGGGGGAUCGGCCACACUGGAACUGAGACACGGCCCAGACUCCUACGGGAGGCAGCAGUAGGGAAUCUUCGGCAAUGGACGAAAGUCUGACCGAGCAACGCCGCGUGAGUGAAGAAGGUUUUCGGAUCGUAAAACUCUGUUGUUAGAGAAGAACAAGGACGUUAGUAACUGAACGUCCCCUGACGGUAUCUAACCAGAAAGCCACGGCUAACUACGUG